CCUACGGGAGGCAGCAGUCGAGAAUCAUUCACAAUGGGGGAAACCCUGAUGGUGCGACGCCGCGUGGGGGAAUGAAGGUCUUCGGAUUGUAAACCCCUGUCAUGUGGGAGCAAAUUAAAAAGAUAGUACCACAAGAGGAAGAGACGGCUAACUCUGUGCCAGCAGCCGCGGUAAUACAGAGGUCUCAAGCGUUGUUCGGAAUCACUGGGCGUAAAGCGUGCGUAGGCUGUUUCGUAAGUCGUGUGUGAAAGGCGCGGGCUCAACCCGCGGACGGCACAUGAUACUGCGAGACUAGAGUAAGGGAGGGGGAACCGGAAUUCGCGGUGUAGCAGUGAAAUGCGUAGAUAUCGAGAGGAACACUCGGGGCGAAGGCGGGUUCCUGGACAUUAACUGACGCUGAGGCACGAAGGCCAGGGGAGCGAAAGGGAUUAGAUACCCGGGUAGUC
RNAcentral lists this ribosomal RNA (446 nucleotides) under uncultured bacterium. RNAcentral describes it as "partial 16S ribosomal RNA". It matches the Rfam family "Bacterial small subunit ribosomal RNA", at positions 338 to 795 of the family's 1533-position model. The record is from RNAcentral.